RNAcentral lists this long non-coding RNA (5542 nucleotides) under Oncorhynchus mykiss (rainbow trout). RNAcentral's name for it is "lncRNA (ENSOMYG00000053873.1)". Lineage: Eukaryota; Metazoa; Chordata; Actinopteri; Salmoniformes; Salmonidae. The record is from RNAcentral.
AAAUGAAGGAAAAGAAAUUGGAGAUUUUGAGGACCGCCUUCUAUAUUUUAUUUGUGGCAACCAUAGCAUCUUCAAAACCAGUCAGUCUACAUGGAUUCCAAUUCAGAAGCAUGAUGGCUGACAGCCUGGAAUCGUCUGAGUCCUCGGAGUCCAGCAAGUCUUCCUCAGAGAAUGGUCAGCCAAUGGUCGCUGGCACUAAGAUCGCAAUACCAGACACUCAGGAGGAGACAGACCCACCAGACAGUGAAGCUAUAGCCUCUGAAACAGCCUCAGAAGUUGAUGAUGCUUUAAUUGCUUCACAAACCACACUUCAAACGGAUGCCUCAUCAGCAGUGGCACUAAAUGGGACAGACACUGAGGCUACCUCACAGCAUCCAGUCAUCGUCGCAUUGACUGAUUCUCCCAGUCUGACUUCUGAUAAUGUCACAACCCAUAUACGGUCUAUGGUCACAACGGCUCUGCCAUCAAUCACUGACACAGCCACAAUUCAAACAUUCUAUGUGGGCACAACUUCUCCCCCGGGCCCAUACCACAUACCCAUUAUGGAGCAGCCAACACCUCCACCAGUCUCCCCAAUACCAAGCCUAACUCCCCAGCAGCUAGUUCCAUUGAGUACCACUGAUGACAUAGCUGGUGUGCCAGGUUGUUUUACUGUAGUAUACAUAACCAGCCCUCAUGCUCAGCCAGUUCCUGUUAGAGGUGAUAACAUUUAAAGCAGAGAGGAAAUUAUUAUAUCAUUGAUUAAAGUCAGACAUAAAAGCUGGCUUCUUUUUUUCAUUUGUCUUUAUGAACAUAUGAGCACAUUGCAGCCACAUAGUGAGCUGGAGGGGCGCCUGUGCUGCAACUGGCUGAAGCGCUCAUGAAAAUGAUUCACUAUAAUAUUUUGCACUAUAUAAGUGAUAAAUAUGUAGAUAUACUGUACUUUAUAUUGCUCAGUGUCUUCCAUGAGUCAGUCUCACAUGUAUUUGCAUUUUUUCCCAUCUUUUAUCUUUUGUGUGAUUUAUUUUGAAAGUCGACACAGAUUGCAUUAACACUGUCAACAACAUUUUAGUCUAUUUGUAAAAGAGGACCCACCAUCUGUAAAUAAAUGCUCUUUAAACAUUUAGAAAAAGGACGGAAGUCAGAAAGAGUACCUUUUCGUGUGCUGCAGGAUAUUUUGGGGCUUUUGAUUAUACUGCAAAACUUAUUACAGGUGAUUUGCAGAUAAUGCCAGCUGUUGGGCAUUCUUUGUGACUCCCAUUGUGUCCUCAGUUAUCAUUGAAUGAAUGAAUGAUGAUACAUUCCUGUUUUAAUUUUGUACUGUAAAGCUUGUCUUGUAUACAAUUGAAUGUCUGACCCAGAAAGACAGAGACCCUGGAGCAGAUGGUGUUUAACUUCUGGUAUGAAUGCAAUGCAGUGAGUGAACAAGUGGGUGUUGUUGUUUUUUUCCGUAUUACAGAGACACUGUUGUUGAGAGAUACCAAAGCUCAUGGCAUGAAGUAUGUUUGCCACCGCACAACACACAUUGAACAUUUACAUGUGACACACAGACACAGAAAAAUAUUUUUCAAAUAGCUUCACUACUUGGACCCCAAAUAAACAUUUAAAAGUUUUACUUUUUCAUAUUCCUACAUGGAACGUAUAGGAACCAUAGACCAAGCUGGACCCUUAAUGGUCAGCCUACCAUACAAAAGGCAGCUGAAGGUAGCUAAAUGCAUCUGCUACGUUGUAUAGAUUAUAACCUGCAACCAGGUUAGCCCCCUGUUGUCCUGAGAUGAUAACAGUCUGUAAUCUGAUGCAUUGCGAAUGUUAAGCUCUUGAGCCGCUUAAAACCACUUGUGGUGUAAAAUUCAUACUCAUCUGAUAAUGUGGACAGAACACCAUACUAACAUUAAUAGCCUGGUCAGAAAUUACCUCUAUUUUGUAGCACUUAUUAGGCACUGUUUUUCAAAACUCCCAACUGAAAUAAGUAAGUUGUUGUUGUCCUCAUUGGGAAUUGUAUUCAUUAACAUUUAUAAAAUGUUGAUAGACUUUUCAAAGCCUCUUAUUCAAGUACCUGUGAAGAUGUAUGAUAUUCAUAAUUUUAAUCUACUGUACAUAGAUUAAACACUCUUUACAAUCCAUUUAGAGGUCCUAUUGAAAUCCACGUAAUGAUACUGCUUGUGACUGAGUACUACACCCUAAUAAGUCUUGAUUUGUGUCUAAUUACUAUAAUGACCAGGUCUGUCUAGUCAACAACAAACACUAUUUCUGCAUGUUCUUCACUUAAAUACAAAAACAUUGUAGUGAAAAUAAAAUAAACAAAUGCUUGUUCCUAGGGAUGAGGUCAAUUAUAGUUUGUCAGAACACUUUUAAUCACAUUUCAAUUUAGAUUGACCCGUCCCCGACCCUCGGUGCACUAGUUCAUAUAAACAUGUUUUUUUGUGAAACACUAAAAUAGUUCUCCUGAGCCUGGCAGCUCUAUUCAAACAUCAAGGCUAUAACAAGUUCAGCUUAAGUCCUUAAUUGCUUUAACCAAUAGACUGGUAUGGGAACAGAGGAGAAAAAAGGAAAUACAUUAUAUUGAAACUGGCCCAGUACAAGUGUUUGACUGGAUCUGUGUGUAGACCUUUUAAUCAGCAAGUCAAUAAUCUCAUAUCCUAUAAGAGGAUUCCUUUUCCAAGCCAAGUUAUGUCAGACAAUAAAAUGGCUGUUGAGUUCUUUUAUAGAAUGAAUAUCUUCUCUACGAUCACCAUCACUAUAUUCUUGUCAGUGUUAUUGUAUAUAAUUGUUCUCCAUGUGUAGUUGUAACAUAAUUCAUGUAAUUGAAUAUAUUGUCAAAGUGAGCUUGUGGCCUUGAUUCUAAUAGGCUAAGAGAGACCACAGACACCUGUUGUCCACUCUGACAGGAAGCAUGUUAACGUCUUAAAGUCCUUAUCCUCUUUAAACACCCCCACACCCUCUUUGUUCUCCUGCAGCACAGAGGUCUCUGUGUCAUUACAAUCUGGCAAUAAACAAUUAACAAUAACAUUCAGACUAUUUUCUGGAAUUAUGUGAAAACCAAAAUUAAUGUAUUGUAUCGCAAGAGAAUACAAAAAUCCCCUCGUUGGAGAUUCAUUAAUUCAAAUUCUUAAUUUGAAUAAGCCUAAGGAAACUAUCACCUAAUCUUUACAUUCUUAAGAGACAAUGGAUUAGCCUACACCUAGAUUACUCAAUUGGAGCAGUGCUUGGCCAGCGUUCAUGAACGCAUGUGCUCAGCAGUAUCAGUAAUAUGUAAUACAUACAGUGGGGAGAACAAGUAUUUGAUACACUGCCGAUUUUCCUAUUAACAAAGCAUGUAUAGGUCUGUAAUUUUUUAUCAUAGGUACACUUCAACUGUGAGAGACGGAAUCUAAAACCAGAAUCCAGAAAAUCAAAUUGUAUGAUUUUUAAGUAAUUAAUUUGCAUACGAGAUCAUACGUUUCCUGUAGUUCUGGACCAGGUUUGCACACACUGCAGCAGGGACUUUGGCACACUCCUCUAUUCAGACCUUCUCCAAAACCUUCAGGUUUCGGGGCUGUCGCUGGACAAUACAGACUUUCAGCUCCCUCCAAAGAUUUUCUAUUGGGUUCAGGUCUGGAGACUGGCUAGGCCACUCCAGGACCUUGAGAUGCUUAUUACGGAGCCACUCCUUAGUUGCCCUGGCUGUGUGUUUCGGGUCGUUGUCAUGCUGGAAGACCCAGCUACAACCUAUCUUCAAUGCUCUUACUGAGGGAAGGAGGUUGUUGGCAAAGAUCUCGCGAUACAUGGCCCCAUCAUCCUCCCCUCAAUACGGUGCAGUCGUCCUGUCCCCUUUGCAGAAAAGCAUCCCCAAAGAAUGAUGUUUCCACCUCCGUGCUUCACGGUUGGGAUGGUGUUCUUGGGGUUGUACUCAUCCUUCUUCUUCCUCCAAACACGGCGAAUGGAGUUUAGACCAAAAAGCUCUAUUUUUGUCUCAUCAGACCACAUGACCUUCUCCCAUUCCUCCUCUGGAUCAUCCAGAUGGUCAUUGGCAAACUUCAGACGGGCCUGGACAUGCGCUGGCUUGAGCAGGGGGACCUUGCGUGCGCUGCAGGAUUUUAAUCCAUGACAGCGUAGUGUGUUCCUAAUGGUUUUCUUUGAGACUGUGGUCCCAGCUCACUUCAGGUCAUUGAUCAGGUCCUGCCGUGUAGUUCUGGGCUGAUCCCUCACCUUCCUCAUGAUCAUUGAUGCCCCACGAGGUGAGAUCUUGCAUGGAGCCCCAGACCGAGGGUGAUUGACCGUCAUCUUGAACUUCUUCCAUUUUCUAAUAAAUACGCCAACAGUUGUUGCCUUCUCACCAAGCUGCUUGCCUAUUGUCCUGUAGCCCAUCCCAGCCGUGUGCAGGUCUACAAUUUUAUCGCUGAUGUACUUACACAGCUCUCUGGUAUUGGCCAUUGUGGAGAGGUUGGAGUCUGUUUGAUUGAGUGUGUGGACAGGUGUCUUUUAUACAGGUAACGAGUUCAAACAGGUGCAGUUCACACAGGUAAUGAGUGGAGAACAGGAGGGCUUCUUAAAGAAAAACUAACAGGUCUGUGAGAGACAGAAUUUUUGCUGGUUGGUAGGUGAUCAAAUACUUAUGUCAUGCAAUAAAAUGCAAAUUAAUUACUUAAAAAUCAUACAAUGUGAUUUUCUGGAUUUUUGUUUUAGAUUCCGUCUCAACUCUCACAGUUGAAGUGUACCUAUGAUAAAAAAAUUACAGACCUGUACAUGCUUUGUAAGUAGGAAAACCUGUGAAAUCGCCAGCGUAUCAACAUUUUUUUUCUCCCCACUGGCCACUUUAAACUAUGCCACUUUGUUUACAUACCCUACAUUACUCAUCUCAUAUGUAUAUACUGUAUUCGAUACCAUCUACUGCAUCUUGUCUAUGCCGUUCUGUACCAUCACUCAUUCAUAUAUCUUUAUGUACAUAUUCUUUAUCCCUUUACACUUGUGUGUAUAAGGUAGUAGUUUUGGAAUUGUUAGGUUAGAUUACUUGUUGUUUAUUACUGCAUUGUCGGAACUAGAAGCACAAGCAUUUCUCUACACUCGCAUUAACAUCUGCUAAACAUGUGUGUGACAAAUAAAAUGUGAUUUGAUUUGAUCAGUCGACAAGGAUGAGGUUGAGGUAACAGCAGUCCUUACUCUGCCCAAAACAACACUACAGCAAACCUUUGAUGAAUUCAUGAAGGGGAGAGUUCAUGUAUCAGUUUGUCUUCAUAUACUCAGUUUGAUGACACAUACCGUAUACAGACUUGUUUACAGACUCUAAGGAAGUGAGUUGAUGAAGUGUGUUCCCUGACAGACAUAUUUGUAUUUAUUAGGGAUCCCCACUCUUCCUGGGGUCCAAACACAUUAAAGCACUUACAUUACACACAGGGCCAGAGGAGCUUGGGAGUGGAUAAUGGUAUGCAAAUAUUCUGUAAGCACAUGGAUCCUCUGUCAGCAUCAUUGAUGGGGCCGAGGCACGCAAUGCAUCCUGCUAACAUCCUCUGCAUGUGCUUAAUCAGAGGGGGGUAUUAAAGUAGAACAGUAAUGCUCACAGAUUUCAAUCUGCCGUCUGCUGUAU